This 601-nucleotide ribosomal RNA is filed under the name Naganishia friedmannii. Its description in RNAcentral is "eukaryotic LSU rRNA". It matches the Rfam family "Eukaryotic large subunit ribosomal RNA", at positions 56 to 647 of the family's 3401-position model. Lineage: Eukaryota; Fungi; Basidiomycota; Tremellomycetes; Filobasidiales; Filobasidiaceae. The record is from RNAcentral.
GAAAAGAAACUAACAAGGAUUCCCCUAGUAACGGCGAGUGAAGCGGGAAGAGCUCAAAUUUGAAAUCUGGUAGCCUUCGGUUGCCCGAGUUGUAAUCUAGAGAAGUGUUUUCCGCGUUGGCCCAUGUACAAGUCCCUUGGAACAGGGCGUCAUAGAGGGUGAGAAUCCCGUCCUUGACAUGGACCCCCAAUGCUUUGUGAUACACUUUCAACGAGUCGAGUUGUUUGGGAAUGCAGCUCAAAAUGGGUGGUGAAUUCCAUCUAAAGCUAAAUAUUGGCGAGAGACCGAUAGCGAACAAGUACCGUGAGGGAAAGAUGAAAAGCACUUUGGAAAGAGAGUUAAACAGUACGUGAAAUUGUUGAAAGGGAAACGAUUGAAGUCAGUCAUGCUCUUUGGAUUAAGCCGUUCUGCGGUGUAUUUCAUUGAGCGGGGUCAACAUCAGUUUUGAUCGCUGGAAAAGGGCAGGAGGAAGGUAGCACUCUCGGGUGAACUUAUAGCCUCUUGUCGUAUACAGUGAUUGGGACUGAGGAACGCAGCAUGCCUUUUGGCCGGGAUUCGUCCACGUACAUGCUUAGGAUGUUGACAUAAUGGCUUUAAACGA